Molecule: ribosomal RNA, 471 nt
Filed under: uncultured Pseudomonadota bacterium
Lineage: Bacteria; Pseudomonadati; Pseudomonadota
Description: bacterial SSU rRNA
Rfam family: Bacterial small subunit ribosomal RNA
Source: RNAcentral
UAGAGUUUGAUCCUGGCUCAGAACGAACGCUGGCGGCAGGCUUAACACAUGCAAGUCGAACGGUCUCUUCGGAGGCAGUGGCAGACGGGUGAGUAACGCGUGGGAACAUACCUUUCGGUACGGAACAACAGUUGGAAACGACUGCUAAUACCGUAUACGCCCUGAGGGGGAAAGAUUUAUCGCCGAGAGAUUGGCCCGCGUUGGAUUAGCUAGUUGGUGGGGUAAUGGCCUACCAAGGCGACGAUCCAUAGCUGGUCUGAGAGGAUGAUCAGCCACACUGGGACUGAGACACGGCCCAGACUCCUACGGGAGGCAGCAGUGGGGAAUAUUGGACAAUGGGCGCAAGCCUGAUCCAGCCAUGCCGCGUGAGUGAUGAAGGCCCUAGGGUUGUAAAGCUCUUUCGCCGGUGAAGAUAAUGACGGUAACCGGUAAAGAAGCCCCGGCUAACUUCGUGCCAGCAGCCGCGGUAAU